CGAGGACGGGAGGCGGAGGCGCUGCGGGGCGGGUUCCCAGGUGAUCGGCGGCGGCUACACCCACUCGCCGCCCCCGCAGGGCACAGAAAUCACUCCAGCUCAAAAGACGUGGCUGUCCUACUCAGUUCUGAGUGUCAUGCUGCUUCUGCUGGAAUUAAUGGUUCACCUAAACUGCAGGUGCUGUUAGACCCUGAGCCUAGGUGCAGGCAGUGGCUGCAUUCUGUGGUGGAAUAAGCUGUGAAAAUUUCUGAAUAAUAAUGCUUUCUGGGAGCAAGAUGGGGGAAGGAAGACACCUCAUAUCAUAGACUCUUUUUAUUGUAAUGCUGAAGGCUAUGUCUGUAGCUGAUAUGUGGCAUAUAAAAAGACAAAG
Melozone crissalis (California towhee) is the source of this 370-nucleotide long non-coding RNA. RefSeq lists it as uncharacterized. Lineage: Eukaryota; Metazoa; Chordata; Aves; Passeriformes; Passerellidae. The record is from RefSeq and is a predicted model, not a curated record. The transcript is spliced from 3 exons.